AAGAUUUGAAGGGUGAGAGAAGAGUUGCAAAAUCACGAACACCGAGGGCGGUGUGAGAAAGCCAGCUUCCUGCACACUGUUGUAGGUGUUAGUGAGAUUAUCAAUUGCUCCGGGAGAGAAGCGGGGAUGGAGGGCUUAGGGAGCGUGGUAGUCCCUCCCUUCGCUCUUUCUGCACCCUGAGAUUGUGCUUUCCCAGGGAUAUACACUCUGCGCUUGCAUUUCUGCAGUGAAAUUAACUCAAGCUCGGCAGUCUCCUCUUCCAGCGACCUCCCACCUGAUGGUGCAACAUGGCAGACUAGACGGCCCUGCCCUCUCUGGUUCCUAAUGAGGAAAAGCUAAGAAAGGGCAGGUCACGGCCA
This 359-nucleotide long non-coding RNA is filed under the name Fukomys damarensis (Damara mole-rat). RNAcentral describes it as "lncRNA (ENSFDAG00000033171.1)". Lineage: Eukaryota; Metazoa; Chordata; Mammalia; Rodentia; Bathyergidae. The record is from RNAcentral.